CUGGGCGUAAAGAGCUCGUAGGUGGUUUGUCGCGUUGUUCGUGAAAUCUCACGGCUUAACUGUGAGCGUGCGGGCGAUACGGGCAGACUUGAGUACUGCAGGGGAGACUGGAAUUCCUGGUGUAGCGGUGGAAUGCGCAGAUAUCAGGAGGAACACCGGUGGCGAAGGCGGGUCUCUGGGCAGUAACUGACGCUGAGGAGCGAAAGCGUGGGGAGCGAGCAGGAUUAGAUACCCUGGUAGUCCACGCCGUAAACGGUGGGUACUAGGUGUGGGUUUCCUUCCUUGGGAUCCGUGCCGUAGCUAACGCAUUAAGUACCCCGCCUGGGGAGUACGGCCGCGAGGCUAAAACUCAAAGAAAUUGACGGGGGCCCGCACAAGCGGCGGAGCAUGUGGAUUAAUUCGAUGCAACGCGAAGAACCUUACCUGGGUUUGACAUGCACAGGACGCCGGCAGAGAUGUCGGUUCCCUUGUGGCCUGUGUGCAGGUGGUGCAUGGCUGUCGUCAGCUCGUGUCGUGAGAUGUUGGGUUAAGUCCCGCAACGAGCGCAACCCUUGUCUCAUGUUGCCAGCGGGUAAUGCCGGGGACUCGUGAGAGACUGCCGGGGUCAACUCGGAGGAAGGUGGGGAUGACGUCAAGUCAUCAUGCCCCUUAUGUCCAGGGCUUCACACAUGCUACAAUGGCCGGUACAAAGGGCUGCGAUGCCGCGAGGUUAAGCGAAUCCUUUUAAAGCCGGUCUCAGUUCGGAUCGGGGUCUGCAACUCGACCCCGUGAAGUCGGAGUCGCUAGUAAUCGCA
This 794-nucleotide ribosomal RNA is filed under the name uncultured Mycobacterium sp. Its description in RNAcentral is "bacterial SSU rRNA". It matches the Rfam family "Bacterial small subunit ribosomal RNA", at positions 554 to 1346 of the family's 1533-position model. Lineage: Bacteria; Bacillati; Actinomycetota; Actinomycetes; Mycobacteriales; Mycobacteriaceae. The record is from RNAcentral.